Molecule: ribosomal RNA, 219 nt
Filed under: uncultured Lactobacillus sp.
Lineage: Bacteria; Bacillati; Bacillota; Bacilli; Lactobacillales; Lactobacillaceae
Description: partial 16S ribosomal RNA
Rfam family: Bacterial small subunit ribosomal RNA
Source: RNAcentral
UAACACCUGGAAACAAGAUGCUAAUACCGGAUAACAACAGAUGAUGCCUAUCAACUGUUUAAAAGAUGGUUCUGCUAUCACUCUUGGAUGGACCUGCGGUGCAUUAGCUAGUUGGUAGGGUAACGGCCUACCAAGGCGAUGAUGCAUAGCCGAGUUGAGAGACUGAUCGGCCACAUUGGGACUGAGACACGGCCCAAACUCCUACGGGAGGCAGCAGUC